CGCGUAGGCGGACCUUCAAGUCGGAUGUGAAACCCGGCGGCUUAACUGCCGGCCUGCAGUUCGAUACUGUUGGUCUUGAGUACAUGAGAGGAAGGCGGAAUUCCAGGUGUAGCGGUGAAAUGCGUAGAUAUCUGGAAGAACACCAGUAGCGAAGGCGGCCUUCUGGCGUGAUACUGACGCUGAAGCGCGAAGGCUAGGGGAGCAAACA
RNAcentral lists this ribosomal RNA (208 nucleotides) under uncultured bacterium. RNAcentral describes it as "partial 16S ribosomal RNA". It matches the Rfam family "Bacterial small subunit ribosomal RNA", at positions 568 to 774 of the family's 1533-position model. The record is from RNAcentral.